This 7417-nucleotide long non-coding RNA is filed under the name Sus scrofa (pig). RNAcentral's name for it is "lncRNA (ENSSSCG00040045845.1)". The record is from RNAcentral. Lineage: Eukaryota; Metazoa; Chordata; Mammalia; Artiodactyla; Suidae.
GAGCUCUUCUCUCCUUAUUUCACACAACAGUAAAACCUUUUGGACACACUUGAUCUGAUCAGAAAUGGACCCUAAAACAACCCAUGAUACCUUUCAUGUUCUUCCAGAAUACCUUGUAUAAUUUCCAAACACCGAAAUUCCCAGGACCCCCAUCGGCUUUCUAGGGAGUGUUCAUGGCAGAUAGAGUUGUUUUUAAUAUUCACUGGUAGCACUCACCUCUCACCCGCCUGUUCAUGAUCAUGGACAGGUGCAGCCAGAAAGCCGUCUACCCGCUCACUAGAAAAAUAUCUGUUUGUUAAGAUUUGAUAGGAGGAGGGGAAACAUAGGCCCCCCAGGAAUUACGGUCCGUUGAAAUUGUUUGAAACAAGGGGAAAAAUGGAAGCCUACAAACUCCUUGUUUUACUGGCCCCACCUUCUCAUGAACUACAUCAAUUCAGACUAGUUCCCAAAUAUGUUAUUUUCUUUGUCAUGGCCACACCUGUGGCAUAUGGAAGUUCCCUGACUAGGGGGGUCAUAUCAGAGCUGUAGGCAACACCACAGGUACAGCAACACCGGAUCCAAGCCACGCCUGCGACCUACACCACAGCUCACGGCAACACCACAUCCUUAACCCACUGAGCGAGACUAGGGAUUGAACCUGCAUCUUCAUGGACACUAAGCUGAGUUCUUAACCUGCUGAGCCGCAAAGGGAACUCCCCGAUUAUUUUUUUUUUAAGCCAUAGAUUCAGACUAACACCUAGGUCAGAGGGUUUUAUCUUAUUUGAUUUUAUGGCUGGAGGGGAAAAGACUACUUAAAAAUGAACCCAAACAUCUCCUAAGUUGGAUGCCCCAAACCUGGGCUGCAUAGAAUUAGAAUCACACAUCGGGAUCACUGGAAUAACUCUCACCAUUUGGAAUCAAUGCACAAAACUGCACUGCCCCAGCCCUAACUGCCUCACCCUAAUUCUCCACAGUUCCCCCUUUUUGGGUGCAUUUUUUUUUUUUAAUGAGAUCUUUAGUAGAAAAUUAAUGCUACAAGUAGAGCUCUUCUAUUGUCAUUCUGUCCCUGCAGCUCUGGUUUUAAUUAGUUUGCCUGCUCGGAAGCUGGUCCUUUGUUGUGGCCUGCUCAGGGGCAGAGGGGUGCCUGUGGAGGCUUCCUCUUCUGGAAUGCAAGCAUUAAUGAGCCAUUUCAGAAAAAAGAGCCCUCUCCUGAGCCGGGAGCCAGGGCACCCGAGAUGCCCCAAGGAGCAGAAAUGCUCAUGAAUUUCUGAGGCCGCCUUUCCAAUUUGCAUUUAAACCUAACUCCUGAAGAACAAUUUCACCUGUGAUUUUCUGAGCUGGGGCAUAAGGGAGUUUCAAUGUUGAAUAUGUACAAAUUAUGUUAAUGCGAGAGAGGUAAAUGAAAGUCAAGUGCAUUGUCAUGUAAAAUGCAUACCUGUUAUCUAAAUACCUAUUUCCUACCAAAGGUUGCUAUGUUUUGUUUUCCCCUUAGGUGAAAUGCAAUGGAAAUUUUUUAAAUGCUGUGAAUUUUUAAAAUUCCUAUUUGAUUAAAAUGAUCUGAUUUUUCCUGAUUUUUCUGUAACCCAGGCUUCAGAAUCUGAGCAGGAAGAGGAUUCACGGGUGCCUGGCGACUCCUUACAAUGCAUGGAAAUCAAUCUAAUGGAACACCUGGUCACCCAUCAGUGCUCGUACUCAAGCAUAAAAGUGAGGGCAGUGUUGGGAGAUCUUCACACUGACCUCAUGACAACCACAGAUUCUGUAUCCAAACACUGGCAGACAAGCAGCUAACUGUAAUGAUGAAAGGCACAGGGCUAAAAGCAGGAAUCAUCACAGCUGGGAUCCAAAGACAGGCUGCUCGCCCUCAUUGCCAGGGCACCUGGGCAUCCAUCUAAAACCUGCUUCCACUAGGUUGGACACCAUUGGUCCCUCUGACCAAUGCAAAAGAGAAAUGAUUCGUCACUGUGGUCCCCUCAACAGUGAAGGGUCUCUUGAUGAGUGUAAAAUCAUGCAAAAGCUGACGUUUCAUCACACUGCAGAGCUACAAGGCUAAUGACUGGGACCUGUCUGCAUCCCUUCUCCCCAUCCACCCCUUGAUACCAACGGGGACCACAGACACACCAUUGUCUAAGUUGUGACACGCCAUCUGUAAGACACUGUAACCAGAGCCAGCAAUGGUGUGGGAAAUGUGCCACAAUGCAGCCCUGUGGUGACAUGGAGGGGUCCUGUCAGACCCUUGGGAUUCAAGGUAGUGAUCAUUAAUCAUGUGCUUCCUGAAACAGACAGCUUCAACCACUAAGGGGAUAUUAAGAUUAUCCACUUGGAUCUCACUCCUGGGCACCUAUCCAGACAAAAUUAUAGUUCAAAGAGAUACACGCACCCCUAUGUUUAUAGCAGCACUAUUCACAAUAGCCAAGACAUGGAAACAACCUAAAUGUCCAUCAACAGACGAAUAGAUUAAGACACAGUACAUAUAUACAAUGGAAUACUAUUCAGCCAUUAACAAGAUCAAAAUAAUGCCAUUUACGGCAACAUGGAUGCAACUAGAAACUCUCAUACUAAGUGAAGGAAGUCAGGCAGAGGAAGAUAAAUACUGUAUGAUAUCACUUACGUGUGGAAUCUGAAAUAUGGCACACAUGAACCUAUCUACAAAACAGAAACAAACUCAUAAAGAACACACUUGUGGUUGCUAAGGGGGAAGAGGGAGGGAGAGGGAUGGUUUGGGAGUUUGGGGUUAGUCAAUAUAAACUAUUACAUUUAGAAUGGAUAAGCAACGAGGUCCUACUGGAUAGCACAGGAAACUACCCAAUCUCUUGGGAUAGACCAUGAUGGAAGGUACUGUAAGAAAGGGAAUGAAUAUAUACUACUGGGUCACUUUUCUAUAGAGCUGAAAUUGGCACAAAACUGUAAAUCAACUAUAAUUAAAAUCUAUAUAUUUUUUUCAUUUGGUUUGGGACUUAAAAUAACCAGCAGUAUGUAGGCCAACCAAAAAGCCUGCUGACCUGGAGGCAUCCUUGACAUGAAGUCCCACUUACCUUCUCUUAUUUAGAGCUUAACUUCAUUUUCAGUUUCAUCAAGCCGUUUGGGGGCAUUUCUCUUGGCAGCAGUAAGGCUGGGAAGCACUACCUGUGAAGUUUGAGGCUGGAAUCCACCCAGACCCCACUGAAUCACUGAUUUCUCAGCUUAACUCCAAUGAACUGGGGUAGAACUGGGUAUUCUUAAGUAUCACCCAGGGCAGAAAAAAACUCAACGCGCUAUCUAAAUUAUCCAACUAUCCGGAUUGAAAGAUUUUACUUGGAUAAGACAUACUUGCUUCUGAAAUUCGGCAGGAGAGUCUUCUGGUUUCAAAUCUAUGGGUGCCAACACUGAUCAUGGAUAUAUGAUCUGUAAAGCAAAUCACUUAUUUUGGUAUUUUGCUACUUGGUAAGAAUAAAAUGGAGAAAACUGUUUAGGGAAUCUGGAUCUUCAUGCAUCCUCUAUCCUUCCAGUGUGCUCUCUGCUCAAGGGCUGGGGUUGGGGAGGCAUGGGAAUUUCCAUUUUAUUGCACGAUGUUUAGGGCCUGGUCAGCGGAGGAGCGAUGAGCUGACGCACAUUCUUCACCCCCUCCCCCCCACUUUUUUAACUUAUUUUUUAAUGGCUGUACCUGUGGCAUAUGGAAGUUCCCAGGCCAGGGAUGGAAUCUAAGUGGCAGCUGUGACCUACACUGCACCUGUGGCAACAACGGAUCCUUUAAGCCACUGUACCAGCCUGGGGAUGGAACCUGAGCCUCUGCAGCAACCCAAGCCACUGCAGUUGGACUCUUAACCCACUGCGCCAUAGCAGAAGUGCCUACACACAUGCUUGGACGAGGAAAGGCGGCCACAGCCCUUUGUGCCAGCAUCUCAUUAUGCCUUUCCUCCGCUCUUUUUGCCAAAGCGCCCUGCUAGAUUAUAAAAGGGAUGUGACAAGGAACAUCUCACCAGAUUCUGCAAAAGCAGAUUGGGGCGAUGGAAAACUGAAAUACAGAAAGUGAAGCUAAGAAACCAAUUCUGAAAGCAGUGUUUGACAGGUAAGAAGGCACGGGAAGGUGUCAGGGGUACCCAGGUCUAUACAACCAGCCGAGGGCAGGAAGCAACAGAAGAACCCAUUAUCCCGGCACCCACACAGGGUUUCCGAACACAGCUCCCUGCAUGGUAACAAGGAGGUUAGCACUGACUCUUACUCAAAAUUAAAUUCGAUUAGAUAUUUCUGGUGGGAAUACUUUAGAAAUGAAAAAGCAUUUUCAAUUUCAAUUAAAUUAAAUACCCAAUUAUGUCACUGGGAAAUUUACCUCCGUAGGAAUCUGUUUUACUUUUACCCUUUUAUUAAAAGAAAAAUUCACGUUUUCCUUUCUGGUCAUACAUUAAAGCGUUUUAGGCAAAAUGGCUCGUUUUCAUCUGAUUAAAAUGCAGCCUAUUUUAGGUUUGGGGAUGAGAAUCUGAAGUCCAGGGACCCAGUGAAAUUGUGUGGAAUAGUUCUUAGCUGUACACAUACAUAUUUUUCUAGGACAAAGGUUCUUAGCUUUGAUCAGAUUUUUCAAAUGGAUCUCUGACUUUUCCCAAAGAUUAAUAACUUCUGUUCCAGAGGGAGCUGAGGUUUUGGCGAAAGUAAGGGAUCCUUACUCCAGAGCCUUGUUUCUCUCAAUAGUUCCUAAAUCUUUUGGAUUUGCACAAUUGCUUUUAAAUUCACAAAGGAAAUCCGUAAGACCUACAAAGAAAAGUAAACUUGGCUCUCACUGGAAGGGGACUGGGCAGGAACUGAUUAAUUCUGCAGUGAUGAGAAUUUAAUAUACAACUUUUUACUUCAUUUCAGGUAGCCUGAAUUUCAGAUAUGAUAUUGUCAGCAAAGAAACCAUUUCUUUUCCUCCCCCACAACUUCUUCUUUUUUUCUUCUUUUAACCUUAAAAAAGGUUUCUAUUUAUUUGAUUUGCAUUUUCCUAGCAAGGUCUUUUCUUCUGAAUUCAAGAGACUGGGAGUGAAAUUAUUCCACCUGGGGAGAAGAGAAAGCUGAAAGCCAAUUUAAUAUUGGUUUUCAAAUACAUGAAGGGCACUCAGAGAGAGGAUGUUAGCUAAAGGAAAUGGUCUUUGAACUAAACUACGAAGAAUCUGAGUUUUGCUCUAAAGUUAAAUUUCCUGGCAUAAAGCAUUCAUAACCCUAAACUGAGAGACUGAAAGAUCGCUUUUGGAGACUUUAUAAAUAGGACAGAUUCUUAAAUGUCUGGGAUGAGGUCCUACCUGAUGUCAGGAGGAUAAAUUUCACCACCAGCAGCAAUCCCUUCCUGGCCUAAAAGCCUAAGGAUAUGGCUGGUGUGUCAGAAGUUCUAACACUAGCCCUGGACAUCCAGAGUCACGUCUCCAUCAGGGGCUGGACAGCAGCCAAUCAGCAACCUCACACAUUGGCCAUCUCUCAGCUGGUCCCCACUCCUGCUUCUGUCUGAGUCUGGGGAGCGGUAACCAAGCGCAGGGAGAGCUCUGCUCCCUAAUUUCACCCCCAGUUCCCAUCAAGCCCUCAGAGAUCCAGGGUUUGCAAGAAAAACAAAAGCAGAACUCAGGCAUUGUAGUCAAAAUUGCAUGAGUGCCCAUUUUGUUUAAAUCCAUAUUAAGCUUCACAGCACACCUUUUUUCUCCCUCUUGGCAAAAGGUAAGAGCCCAGCUCUGUUUCCGAAACCAAUACCUUCUAAGACCGGGCUGGUUUCAGCCUUCCUUUUUUUUUUGCUGGACAAUGCUGCCCCUACUUUGAAAGGAGGCGAUAUCUAUAGCUAGACCUUCAGGCUGGCCUCAAAAGUCUUUCUGUGGCUCCCCAAGGGAAAACCCUAAGGGACACAUCCGGGUCUGGAAGCUCCGCUCCCCUGACUCCAGUGGGCCUGUGCGCACAGGCUCAGAGAUUCUGAGUUGUUCGGGGAUCCUGGAAAACAUCUGGUCAACCCUUGUCUGCAAUGUGUGCCCCUUGGUCACAGCUCCCAAGUGGUCACCGAGCUCCAAGAGGUUUCCAAUCAAACCAUUUGAAAGCUGUCCUGCUCUCAGCAAGAGAAAGUACUGAGCUGAAGUCUGCUCCCUCCUCUUGCCCUUCGUGUCCAUGUCACAAGAGUCUUUGCAACGUCACUCAAAGAGCUAAACAUCGGACUUUCACUUGGACGGUCAAGUCCAAAGGCAGCUGCAGCACACAUGCCCUCUGAGGUUCAGGAGCAGAAUCCCUAGCAGGUUGCUGCCAACCUCCUUUCGCAGAAACAAAAUAAUCUGAAAAACAUGUCUGAGGAUACUCUGCACGUGAGGAACCCCCACAAAAUGCUGAUCCACGGGAAAACAUCAAAGGAUAAACUGUGUAUUUGUGGGGGUGCCUGCCAUGGAGCUAAAAACCCAGCACAAACCAAAGGAGGCUAAUAAGCUCAAGAUGGAAAAAAUACUCAGACAAUGCGCACAUCGUGGUUCUAUUAAUAUUGGUAAUAUGGUAAUAUUAAUAUAGUAACAUUAAUAUGGCACCUUUACUGGAAUUCCUGUUGUGGCUCAAUGGAGACGAAUCUGACUGGUAUCCAUGAGGACUCAGGUUUGAUCCCUGGCCUCGCUCAGCGGGUUGAGGAUCUGGCUUUGCCGUGAGCUAUGGUGUAGAUCGUAGACGUGGCUCAGACCCUGCAUUGCUGUGGCUGGGGUGUAGGCCGAUAGCUACAGCUCCUAUUCAACCCCUAACCUGGGAACCUCCAUAUGCUGUGGGUGAGGGCCUAAAAAGCAAAAUAUAUGUACAUAUGACACCUUUACUUAGUGGCUGAUAAAAAAGCGAAAGCAUCAAUGAGAAUAAUAGGAAAGCGGAAAGUGGAAGUCACUGACUCUCCCCUGAGCACACGGCGGCUGGCACAGCAGGUAGAAGUCAUCACCCAGAGAAUGGGGACGUCCCCCUCCCUCCUAGAGGAGGCCACUGUGCCAUGUGCACAUGUGACAUGGCAGGAAAGAGAUGAACAGCUAGUGGGACCAAGAGUGGGCGGUUAAAUGGACCAAGAAAGGGCUCCACCACCGGAUGAAAUCAGGAAGGGAAGGGAGUGUUUAAGGCUGUCCAAAGUCUGAAAGGGUGUGAGGAUGGAAUGUCUUCCUCACCGGUGUCCUCCAAGACUGAGACUGGGACUAAGCUACCUCCGUGUCACCCUGAGAGCCUGCCCCCACCAGGUGUUCCACACACACUUACUGCCACAUGCAUUGUGUCCUGGCCCAAGGCAGCGCUGAGAACCAGCUCAUUUUUGGAAGAGAUGUCCUGGGACACAAGUCUCUGUGGGAAAGGACUCCGCUACCUGAUUCCAAGCUCAGAACAGCCUCAAUGGAUCUGACGCUGCGUGAGAACAGAUGCAGGGAGAAGUCUUAUAAGCCAUGAAAAGGGACCACGCAAAGUCCAACAGAGGAAAAAAGCCAGUAUAUAUCUUUUUGAGGAUUCUUUUUUU